GCCCCUGACGCUGCCCGUCGCCAGAUGCUCAGCCCCAGAGGAGUCGGGGAGGAUCCUGGCAGCCCAGCCCACGCUCGGCAAGGAGGCCUCGACGCGCUCAGGAGCCAGUCUGGCAUCUCUGCAGCGCAGCUGGUGGCCUGUCCUCUGCGCAAAGAGGCCGGCGAUACCUGGCUGGGCCAGAUCAAGAGCCGCUGAGGUCAGAGAGGUUGGAAGAGGAGAGCCGGGCUGGCCGAUGGGCGCAGCCCAUCAGGAGGAGUCUGGUAGCCCCUUUUCCGGCUGACCCGUGUGACUGAAAGGCAGAAGCCCCCCGCUUCAAGGUCCUCUGCUCAAGGCCAAGGGUUGGGCUGCAGGGUGCUUGGGACACCCUGGCAGACACCGAGGCAGGGAGGUUUAGGAGCGAAAAUCCAGCAGCCGGGAAGAACGUUGGAGGACGCUGAGAGAGACCCCAGCUGGCUAAUUUAAGGAAAGGGUGAUCCAGUGGCCGCGCUCAGCCCCCCGAACAACCAAGCAGGGUUGGAUCUCGUUGGUCCUUGGAUGGAAAACCGCUAGGCUGUCCCAGGCGGUGAGCUAGCCUGGAGUGGCCGAACCACCCCAGCGAACUGCCAAGAAAACGUCAUCGGUGUGUCCGAGUGGACACCGGGAGAUCAGCUGACUUCCAAGGAGUCUUCACCUUGAUCUUGGAAAGUGGGACGGGAUCUCGGGAUGCUGCAGGACCACUUGGAUGUCACGCUCUCUGAGCUGUUGGUGGCCCCGUGCAAGAACUUGAAGCUGCAGAGCCUGUCUGCUGCUGCCUCCAGGGACCCCCAGAGGAACCAGCCGCAGUCCCCGAAACUGCUCCUCUGGUUCAGAUCGCAGUGUGAACGUCCUUGGUGCUGAAGGCACUUCGCUUUUCACCAGCCGCCUUCUCCCGGGGUGGCUGCUCCCAGCCCAGCAUCGCUCGCCACUGCAGUAAAUCACCGUUCUUUGAUCAGCCGGCUUCUUUUCCUCUCCUCUCUCAGCAGCCUGUGGGGUUGGGCCAUGAGGCUAAUUUCAGAAGAGGGGGGUCUAAAAAGUCAAGAUGGUGGACACUCCACUCCUUCUUUACGCAUGUGUCACAUGAAUGACACACCAGAAAAAGGGCAGAGCUUCAAUCGUGUGGUCGUGGUGCCAUCCUGACUUUUUUG
Molecule: long non-coding RNA, 1163 nt
Organism: Python bivittatus (Burmese python)
Lineage: Eukaryota; Metazoa; Chordata; Lepidosauria; Squamata; Pythonidae
Source: RefSeq, a predicted model, not a curated record